RNAcentral lists this ribosomal RNA (433 nucleotides) under uncultured bacterium. RNAcentral describes it as "partial 16S ribosomal RNA". It matches the Rfam family "Bacterial small subunit ribosomal RNA", at positions 29 to 507 of the family's 1533-position model. The record is from RNAcentral.
AAUGAACGCUGGCGGCAGGCCUAACACAUGCAAGUCGAGCGAGCAUUUCGGUGCUGGCGGCGGACGGGUGAGUAACGCGUGGGAACGUGCCCUUUUCUGCGGAAUAGUCCUGGGAAACUGGGGGUAAUACCGCAUACGCCCUUUUGGGGAAAGAUUUAUCGGAGAAGGAUCGGCCCGCGUUGGAUUAGGUAGUUGGUGGGGUAAUGGCCCACAAAGCCGACGAUCCAUAGCUGGGUUGAGAGGAUGAGCAGCCACACUGGGACUGAGACACGGCCCAGACUCCUACGGGAGGCAGCAGUGGGGAAUCUUAGACAAUGGGGGCAACCCUGAUCUAGCCAUGCCGCGUGAGUGAUGAAGGCCUUAGGGUUGUAAAGCUCUUUCAGCUGGGAAGAUAAUGACGGUACCAGCAGAAGAAGCCCCGGCUAACUCCGUG